This 307-nucleotide long non-coding RNA is filed under the name Carica papaya (papaya). RNAcentral's name for it is "long non-coding RNA (CPAP_LNC014970)". Lineage: Eukaryota; Viridiplantae; Streptophyta; Magnoliopsida; Brassicales; Caricaceae. The record is from RNAcentral.
UUUCAUUUAACAUCCCUUACACGAAAAACCAAACAAACGUACUUAAAAUAUAAAAGGUUAAACUAACUAAGAAAGAAAACUCGAAAAUAAACUAUGCGUAUGACUACAGAGUCUCUAGGCAUCCCCUUCGUCGUCCUCCUGCGGAACGGGCUCGGGAACCAUGUCUUCCUGAUCUGAAAUAGUUAAUUAAGGAGUGAGCUACACUAGCCCAGUAAGAACAUCACGAUAUCUCACCGUCACGGAGAUAAAGGUGGGUAGAAAACCACAAAAAGACCAAUGGAGCAUAAUUUACAAUAAACUCGUUUAU